Molecule: ribosomal RNA, 406 nt
Filed under: uncultured bacterium
Lineage: Bacteria
Description: partial 16S ribosomal RNA
Rfam family: Bacterial small subunit ribosomal RNA
Source: RNAcentral
AUUGAACGCUGGCGGCAGGCCUAACACAUGCAAGUCGAACGAGUGGCGGACGGGUGAGUAAUGUCUGGGCAACUGGCUGUUGGAGGGGGAUCACUACUGGAAACGGUAUCUAAUACCGCAUACUAUCUGUUUUGCCCAUAUGGGAUUAGCGAGUUGGUGGGGUAAAGGCUCACCUAGGCGACGAUCCCUCGCUGGUCUGAGAGGAUGACCAGCCACACUGGAACUGAGACACGGUCAAGACUCCGACGGGAGGCAGAAGUGGGGAAUAUUGGAAAAGGGGCGAAAGCCGUAUGCAGCCAUGCGGCGUGGAUGAGGAAGGCCUUCGGGUUGUAAAUUACUUUCAGCGGGGAGGCGGUACCGGAAGAAGAAGCACCGGCUAACUACGUGCCAGCAGCCGCGGUAAUAC